GUGUGUGUUCUACGUCGAUCAGAAGCUCCCAAAGGAGCCAAACCCUAGCUCAAGCUUAUUUGCUCAAAUUGAAAGGGGAAUUCAACCCAAAUCUAAUGCAUGUACCCGAAUUCUUAGUCAUCUAGCCCUAAAGAUCACUUGGAACCACACUAGCAUGGACCAAGCAUGGAAGGCUAACGGGUCAAGAUGAGACAAGCAAGCGGGUAUGAACACGGAUGCACAAGAUAUGUAGGUGCGUAUGAUCAGACGUAUGAAUAUAUGAAUGCACGAAGUAGGAUUUAUCGUCUAUGAAAAGAAUGGGACAGGAAUGAGAACGUCAGACUCUUGUAGAAUUGAAGCCGAACCUUGAAGCCUAACUCGGAACAAAGGAAUCCGAGAGGAUAGUCGAAUGAAUCAAAGUUUAUGUUGUCGAAUGUUAUAUGAUUUUUAAUUUGUAUCAGAUUAUUGUUGUAUGACGUUGCCAAUGACUAAUGGUUAAGUUGUAUGUGGCGUCCACAGGUAUUACACGGAUUUCUUCUGCUGCUAAGGAAGUGAAGCGGACGUAGAUCGAGUCAAGAGCAAGGAUUGUAUGGAUAGAACGACCACAUAGUUUGAAAUACGUAAUGCUUUGAAACGUUAAUUUAAUGUAAAUAUUGUAAACCUCUUCCAGUAAGCGCUUAACAUUUUCGUAUUUGAGCUUUUAUGUAAGUAAUGUGUCUAAUAAAGAAAGAAAUUUCAAGGCU
This 722-nucleotide long non-coding RNA is filed under the name Helianthus annuus (common sunflower). RNAcentral's name for it is "hypothetical non coding rna". Lineage: Eukaryota; Viridiplantae; Streptophyta; Magnoliopsida; Asterales; Asteraceae. The record is from RNAcentral.